CAAGUCAAUUUGUGGGACAUAAUGGCACAAUUUAGAAAGGAAUAUUGCAGACAGUAAGACCACUUGGAUUAGAAGUCUUGAAUCAGUUUGCAGGGCUAUAUAUUUCUGUAGCGUUGUGUUUUGUUGUGUGGGGAAUUUAAUAAGAGAUGUAAAUCUAAAAACCAUGAUGGUAUUUCCAUAAAAUAUAAAAGAUUCAUGUAUUAUAAAUAGAUACGAUAAAUAAAUUAUUUAUGUGAACGUAUAUCUGUGUGUGAUUGUGUGUAUGUAGGCACACAUUCACUUUUCUUUUUGAACUAAUUAGUGGUGAAGUCAUCUAUCGUGCGUUGCCCUGUGACCUGUGCAAGAGCUUUAAUGGCAUUUCCUGCAAAGAGCUGAAGGUAGAGCCUGCUUUGUGCUGAGCAGCUCCAACUCAUUCAGGUGGGGAAUACAACAAGCCACGAGCAGAACAAAGCUAUCCAAAGUGCCGAGGCAGCCCUGAGCAUCACGAUGGCAAACCUGAGCCCCAGGAGGGUGACUCCAUCAGAUAUCAGAUACUGAAUCAGACGAACCAGAAAGCCCUCCCCAGCGUUUCCUCGCUCCAGCUAUUGACUAUCUAAGCAUCUCUAAGCGUUAAGAUGAAUGAUAAUUGAGCAGUAGUAUUAAUUUGCACCCGUUUUUUCCCCCUUGCUCACUCCCCCAUCCACAGGCACUGUAAAAACCUCUCCUUGUGCCUGCUGCUUUUUUUCCUCCUCCAGGCAGCCCUCCUGUAUUAAGGGAUGGGUACCAUCGCUUUAGGAAUAUCUGACUUUAAAUUUCCAGGAUGCUGAGCAGAAAACUUCCAGCACCUGAAGCACCUCAGCCUGUAGCAGAUGAGUGCUGCAAAAGGCAGUGGCUAUUUUAGCUUCAGGUCUGCGUGUGACUAAUAUGUUGUUGUAGAUACCUGGCUGCAUUGAGGUCAGAGCAGGGGCAAGCUGUCUCUUCUGCAGUGAAUUAGAGGCUUACAUUCAUUAUCUUCCAAUACCUCAUUAAAACAGCUUUAAUGUGGUGAACAUUUGAUGGUAGACAAAAGCUUUAAUCUUGUGAAUAUCAAACACACCUGUGUUACAUUUCCUCUUGCGAGCAGUUAGCAGAAACAGGUUAACAAGCUAUUUUAACUCCUUAAUCUGCUGAAUUUGCGUGGAAACCAGACUUUCACCAGUCACCUGAGUUUGAACUCCAAAAAAAAAAAAAAAGCAGCCCGCUA
This 1222-nucleotide long non-coding RNA is filed under the name Phasianus colchicus (ring-necked pheasant). Its description in RNAcentral is "lncRNA (ENSPCLG00000005787.1)". Lineage: Eukaryota; Metazoa; Chordata; Aves; Galliformes; Phasianidae. The record is from RNAcentral.